This 280-nucleotide ribosomal RNA is filed under the name uncultured bacterium. RNAcentral's name for it is "partial 16S ribosomal RNA". It matches the Rfam family "Bacterial small subunit ribosomal RNA", at positions 338 to 610 of the family's 1533-position model. The record is from RNAcentral.
CCUACGGGGGGCAGCAGUGGGGAAUAUUGGACAAUGGGCGAAAGCCUGAUCCAGCCAUGCCGCGUGUGUGAAGAAGGUCUUCGGAUUGUAAAGCACUUUAAGUUGGGAGGAAGGGCAGUAAGUUAAUACCUUGCUGUUUUGACGUUACCAACAGAAUAAGCACCGGCUAACUUCGUGCCAGCAGCCGCGGUAAUACGAAGGGUGCAAGCGUUAAUCGGAAUUACUGGGCGUAAAGCGCGCGUAGGUGGUUCAGCAAGUUGGAUGUGAAAGCCCCGGGCUC